UAACGUUACCAAACUGUUGCCUCGGCGGGAUCUUCUGCCCCGGGUGCGUCGCAGCCCCGGACCAAGGCGCCCGCCGGAGGAAUCAACCAAAACUCUUAUUGUAUACCCCCUCGCGGGUUUUUUUUAUAAUCUGAGCCUUCUCGGCGCCUCUCGUAGGCGUUUCGAAAAUGAAUCAAAACUUUCAACAACGGAUCUCUUGGUUCUGGCAUCGAUGAAGAACGCAGCGAAAUGCGAUAAGUAAUGUGAAUUGCAGAAUUCAGUGAAUCAUCGAAUCUUUGAACGCACAUUGCGCCCGCCAGUAUUCUGGCGGGCAUGCCUGUCCGAGCGUCAUUUCAACCCUCGAACCCCUCCGGGGGGUCGGCGUUGGGGAUCGGCCUUCCUUCACGGGGGCCGUCUCCGAAAUACAGUGGCGGUCUCGCCGCAGCCUCUCCUGCGCAGUAGUUUGCACACUCGCAUCGGGAGCGCGGCGCGUCCACAGCCGUUAAACACCCAACUUUCUGAAAUGUUGACCUCGGAUCAGGUAGGANNNNNNGCUGAACUU
This 541-nucleotide ribosomal RNA is filed under the name uncultured Hypocreaceae. Its description in RNAcentral is "eukaryotic LSU rRNA". The stretch from base 177 to 330 matches the Rfam family "5.8S ribosomal RNA". The record is from RNAcentral. Lineage: Eukaryota; Fungi; Ascomycota; Sordariomycetes; Hypocreales.